This 72-nucleotide transfer RNA is filed under the name Pseudofrankia asymbiotica. Its description in RNAcentral is "Frankia asymbiotica tRNA". It matches the Rfam family "tRNA". From Rfam's summary of the family: Transfer RNA (tRNA) molecules are approximately 80 nucleotides in length. Their secondary structure includes four short double-helical elements and three loops (D, anti-codon, and T loops). The record is from Rfam by way of RNAcentral. Lineage: Bacteria; Bacillati; Actinomycetota; Actinomycetes; Frankiales; Frankiaceae.
GGGGAUGUAGCUCAAAGGUAGAGCGGCGGCCUCCAAAACCGUUCGUUGGGGGUUCGAGUCCCUCCGUCCCUG